Molecule: ribosomal RNA, 474 nt
Filed under: uncultured bacterium
Lineage: Bacteria
Description: partial 16S ribosomal RNA
Rfam family: Bacterial small subunit ribosomal RNA (bases 20-298)
Source: RNAcentral
AACGAACGCUGGCGGCAUGCCUAACACAUGCAAGUCGAACGAGACCUUCGGGUCUAGUGGCGCACGGGUGCGUAACGCGUGGGAACCUGCCCUUAGGUUCGGAAUAACUCCCCGAAAGGGGUGCUAAUACCGGAUAAUGUCUUCGGACCAAAGAUUUAUCGCCUUUGGAUGGGCCCGCGUUGGAUUAGCUAGUUGGUAGGGUAAAAGCCUAUCAAGGCGACGAUCCAUAGCUGGUCUGAGAGGAUGAUCAGCCACACUGGGACUGAGACACGGCCCAGACGAAGAGGGGAGGAGGGGGGGGGGAAGAGUGAGAGGGGGAGGCAGGCCUGAAGCAGGACGGGGGAGGGGGGGAGGAAUGUGGGGGUUUAGUAAGGGCCUGUUACGCGGGAUUAGACGGACAGGAGCGGAAGAAUAGCUUCCGGCGACUUCCGUGCCAGGAGCCGCGGGAAGAUGAGGAAGAGACCUCGUAUGAUA